RNAcentral lists this ribosomal RNA (685 nucleotides) under Lobophyllia hataii. RNAcentral's name for it is "SSU rRNA". It matches the Rfam family "Eukaryotic small subunit ribosomal RNA", at positions 331 to 1012 of the family's 1831-position model. Lineage: Eukaryota; Metazoa; Cnidaria; Anthozoa; Scleractinia; Lobophylliidae. The record is from RNAcentral.
AGGUAGUGGCUUACCAUGGUUGCAACGCGUGACGGAAAAUUAGGGUUCGAUCCCGGAGAGGGAGCCUGAGAAACGGCUACCACAUCCAAGGAAGGCAGCAGGCGCGCAAAUUACCCAAUCCUGACUCAGGGAGGUAGUGACAAGAAAUAACAAUACAGGGCUUUUCCAAGUCUUGUAAUGGGAAUGAGUACAACUUAAAUCCUUUAACGAGGAUCCAUGGGAGGGCAAGUCUGGUGCCAGCAGCCGCGGUAAUUCCAGCUCCAAUAGCGUAUAUUAAAGUGGUUGCCGUUAAAAAGCUCGUAUUUGGAUUUCGGGAUGGCUCGGCCGGUCUGCCGCAAGGUUCCGCAAGGUAUGUUACUGGCCGCCCUGUUUUUCCUCGCAAAGACUGUGUGUGCUUUUAACUGAGUGUGCAUAGGAUUUUCGACGUUUACUUUGGAAAAAUUAGAGUGUUCAAAGCAAGCCAGCGCUUGGAAACAUAAGCAUGGAAUAAUGGGAUAGGACAUUGGGUCUAAUUUGUUGGUUUCUGGAACUGAAGUAAUGAUUAAGAGAGACAGUUGGGGGCAUUCGUAUUUCGUUGUCAGAGGUGAAAUUUUUGGAUUUACGAAAGACGAAAUACUGCGAAAGCAUUUGCCAAAGAUGUUUUCAUUAAUCAAGAACGAAAGUUAGAGGAUCGGAGACGAUCAGA